Molecule: microRNA precursor, 206 nt
Filed under: Oryza sativa Japonica Group (Japanese rice)
Lineage: Eukaryota; Viridiplantae; Streptophyta; Magnoliopsida; Poales; Poaceae
Description: MIR812 microRNA precursor family
Rfam family: MIR812 microRNA precursor family
Source: Rfam by way of RNAcentral
AAAAAGACAAACACUGGGUUUCCGUGUCCAAGUUUUAUCAUCCGUCUUAUUUGAAAAAAUUAUGAAAAAAAUUAAAAAGACAAGUCACGCAUAAAGUAUUAAGCAUGUUUUAUCAUCUAACAACAAUGAAAAUACUAAUUAUAAAAAAAUUUCAUAUAAGACGAACAGUCAAAUGUUGGACACGGAAACCCAGGGUUUGUCUUUUU